AAGUCGUAACAAGGUUUCCGUAGGUGAACCUGCGGAAGGAUCAUUAAUGAAUUUUCACCAAACACAUAUGGGAGAAUUUCAAAAAAAAAAUAAUUCCAUAUCCACCUUGUGUGCACCUCAACAAAAUAUUUUGUGAAAGUCCUUUUGGUCGUUGCAUAAAAGAUAAUUUUAUCACGGCCAAAAGGCAACUUUCUCAUUCUUUUUUUUAACGCGUCUGAAAACAAAACAAGUCUGAAAAAUUCAUAAAAAUGGAAAUAUAUAUAUAAUAAUAUUAAAACAACUUUCAGCAACGGAUCUCUAGGCUCUU
This 307-nucleotide unclassified non-coding RNA is filed under the name fungal sp. RNAcentral's name for it is "partial internal transcribed spacer region". The stretch from base 1 to 46 matches the Rfam family "Eukaryotic small subunit ribosomal RNA", at positions 1786 to 1831 of the family's 1831-position model. The record is from RNAcentral. Lineage: Eukaryota; Fungi.